Homo sapiens (human) is the source of this 1547-nucleotide long non-coding RNA. The record is from Ensembl. NCBI's taxonomy places the organism in Eukaryota, Metazoa, Chordata, Mammalia, Primates, Hominidae.
AUGAUCUUAAGUAAGCCCAUUUUGCUUCAAUUUUCUUAUCUAGAAAAUGGGGAUAAUAACACCCAUGUUAUAGAGUUAUUCUGAUGAUUUCUAAGAGUCUCAGAGACCUAGGAUCCACAAAAUCAAAACAACAAAACCAAGCCUUUGUGCACAUCUGUGGUUGUGACCAGUUGGAGAGACAUUAGGAGAUGAGAUACUAUGUUCACUCCUCACAGCUGUACCAGGGACCUGAGAUAUUCCGUCACUAUUCUAUGAGCCUGGGCUGGUGAAUGGUUCCUGCUUUCACUAUUCCAGAUGUCCAGCUCUGUACCUUGCUGCUCUCCUUAAAGCCUGCCUCCCUCUAGGGAGCUAUGGUGCAUUACUCACGAGUGACAGAACCAACGAGCUUCAUCUCCCAAGAGGCUGGUGCAUCUGUUUAAAGGAGCAGGCACUAGGCAGAGCAGCCCCCACCCCACCCUCCAUGGCAGAGUGCAGUGGGGGAAGAAGUUUUCAUAGAAAUGCUUUCUAUAAAGCAUUUUCAUAGAGAAAGCAGGUUCAUAUAGAAAGCACUGGCUGCUGGUUGGAGUGGAGAGAUUGAAGACCCUCAUCUAGGAUCAAGCAACCCCCAGAAAACAAUUUUAAACAUGUCCAUUCAGACAAAAGGAGUCCAAAACCAUAAGAUCCUCUCAGCAUCCUGAACUAAUGUCCAGCUGUUAUCUCGAUGGGGAAACUGAGGCACAGAGAGGUUAGAGAUAUGCCUGAAGCCACACAGCUUGCAAGUGGUGGAUCUGGGAUUUGAACUUGUCGAUCUGGCUGCAGAGCUGAGCUCUUGGAGACUAGGUUUUACUGCCUAGUAGCAUGUAAGCCUGGAACUGCCGGCAGUCAUUUUGUAAGUUUGCCGAGUGAACCUCAAUGAGCAUGAAGCAGAGAGGAAAGCAGUACUAAGAGAUGCAAAAGAGUCUGUGUUCCAGCAAUGGGAUCUGAAGUCCUGGAUCAAACCUUACCUGGAGACAAGAUUUACCCAUCAGACAUGCCAGUUAUAAGACCCAAAUUUACCCUUUUUGGGGGAUUGAGUUUGAAUGAGUAUUUUUGUUUGUUUGUUUUGGCAUCAGAAAGACUCCUGAUUAAUACACAGUGUGACGCUGACCAAGAUGCUUCCUUUCUCUAGGACUCAAUUUUCUUAUCUGUAAAGUAAAGGGUUCAUCAACAUUCUUUGGUUGAAUCUUACCUGAAACAUUUUGUGAGCCUUCACCAAUCUCAUCUAAGCCUUUGUUUCCAUAGAACAAAGCCCUUUAAGAAAGGAGGGGAAAGUGUCAUGGAGUCUUACUGUCCUGAGUGCAAAUAUGGUCUCUGUAUUGUCCUUAUCUGUUCAUUUUCUGCCUCUCAGUACUAGAAUGAAAACUCUGGAAGAAGAAGGAAUUUUGUCUGAUUUUCUUACUGCUGUAUCCUCAGUAUUUUGAACUGUUUCUAACUCAGAGUACAAUCUCAAAAUUUUUUUUGAUUUUCAUAUAUCUGUAUAUAUAUUUGUUAAAUGAGUGAAGAAAUCCUUAUAUGUCUUUAUGGAUAAC